This 715-nucleotide long non-coding RNA is filed under the name Gossypium barbadense (sea-island cotton). Its description in RNAcentral is "long non-coding RNA (GBAR_LNC014738)". Lineage: Eukaryota; Viridiplantae; Streptophyta; Magnoliopsida; Malvales; Malvaceae. The record is from RNAcentral.
GUUAGAGUAUGGUCAUCACCAUUGGUCAAAAAAUGAGCAAAACAAAACAAAACCAAUCACACAAAGUAUGGGCACUCAACAAUGAUGUCAUGAAAGUCCAAAUCCCUAAUCAUCUUGAGGAUGUUGACAAUAGUAUGUGCCUCUGGUGAACGAGCACCAAAUGCACCAUCAAGCUGUCAAGCACACGCAUCAUGUCCUUACAGUCACGAACCACUGCUCCAAAGGUCGCCGCUUGCUUCUUAGCCCACCAUGCCACAUCGACAUUGAUCUUGAAACGCUCACCAUUUAAGGCCUCCCACCUUUCAGUACUUGAUCCCCUAAGCAGCAACGAUACGCAUAAGAGGCUAUGCACCCUGAAGCCCUUAUGGACAGUGCGAGCGUGAAUCAAAGCAUCUUGUGGAGAUAUAGUCUUUCUCUGAAUGAUCCCAAAAUUCCUAGCUUCCCAGAGCUGCCAUAGGAACAAUAAAAGGCUUGUGAAAUCCUCCUUCUCAAGCUUCCUCGUAGCAAACUUCAGUCAAUCAAUCACCCUACAAAAAGAAGCACAAUAAGUUAUUUCAAUACCACACAAAAUCAGUACCUCAUUCGAGAAAGGACAAUCAUAGAUGUCAUGCACAAUAUCCUCUCUCAAACCACCACAUCUCCUAUACCGAGGAUCAUUAGAAGGAGCUAAAGGCUAGGUUGAGGCUUGAUUUAAAAAUUUUCUAGUCCCACACCC